CCGAGUUUUACCGGCUGCGAUGUGUUACGCGCCCCUGCUUUAGAAAAAAACAGAGAAGGAAAACUUCAUAGAAAUGGCGGAGGGUGCUACGACUCUCAAAGGCUUGCGAGCCCAAAUGGCUGCAGCUGCACAGGCACAAGCCGAGGAGCGGCGCAGCCUGGCAGGGAACAGCCCAGGACCUACAACCAACGCACCAGCUAAACCUCAGGGGGGGAGUAGGCCAGUCAUUGACGGUGCCGCGCUUAGAAUAGACGACCGGCUGCGAGUGGCAAAAGAGAGGCGAGAGGAGGCAGAGAGACAACAGGUUUUGCGAGACUCUCAGAUCAUGGAGCGGGAGCGCAAGGCCAAGAUGCAAGUGGAGCGUCAGAUGGAGGAGCGUCAGAAAAAGGUUGAUGAACAGCGAAGAAAGGAGGAGCAGAAACGAUUGGCUGUGGAGGAGAAGAGGAAGCAGAAACAGGAAGAGGAAAAGGAGCACUACGAGGCAGUGAUGCGGCGGACAUUGGAGCGCAGUCAGCGAGUGGAGCAGAGGCAGAAAAGAUGGUCCUGGGGAGGACUGUCCACUGACUCAGAUGGACGAACAGGAGACUCUGAUGCCGGCACCUCAUCUCCAGUAACUAUAGUUAUCUCCUCUGCCUCGCCAGAAAAGCCACCAAGGAGUCAACAAGUGGACAAGCGCUCCACAUCCACCAUGAACCUGAAACAGCUGUCCGAGGCUGGCAUCAGCAAACGCCUAUCCUCCUCCUCUGCCACCCUUAUCAAAUCUCCUGACAAAAGUGUUAAGCCGAGGAGUUCGUCUUGUAACCGGUUGCCUAACAAUGGCAAUGCUGCUCAGGCCAGUAAGGAAGAUGGCAAAAAACUUCAGGUGGAACAGACAGGUGCAAAAGAUCCCCUCUCCAUCCCACACUAUGCUUUUAUAACAGAGAUGGUGUACAGUACACAAUUUACUCGCAGGCCACCGGCCGGCACUGUGGACGGAGGGGUCCUUAGUCGCCUGCUCACCCCCACCCAGGCCUCACUAGCUAGGAGCAGGAGCGCCGCCGCCCUGUCAGCUGAAGGAACAGAUGCUCCAGAGUGUCACCUGUGUCCUCGCUCAGCCUCUGCCAGUCCCCUGCAUCCACCACGGGGACCCGUGCGCAGCCGCAGCAUUGACCGGCAGAAGAGCAGCAUGACCACCUCUGUGUCGGCCGACGGAAAAGACAAGCAGUUUACAUCGCCUGGAGGGCAACGUCCCGCCUCCCCAUCUACUACCAUGGGACGUAACCGUUCACCAUCCCCAGCCCCCAAUCCAACACGCCCACCCUCACCGAGUGCAAUGAAACAACGCCCCCCAUCCCCCCAGCCUACAUCAGCCAAACCUCCACCUAUUCAGAAACCAGCUCUCACUCCAACAGGGGCCCCCACCUUGCGAAAGAGGGACUCCAAGUCCAAGGAUCUGUGUCCGGUCCAGGCUGUGUCUCCACAGUCCUCUGAUUCCAGCAAGACCAAAGAGAAAGAUGACUCUAAAGCCUCGACAGGCACUAACUCGGCCGCUGAGGCAGCCAAGAUCCUGGCGGAGAACCGCAGACUGAUGCGAGAGCAGAAAGAGAGAGAGGAGCAGCUCAGGAUACAGAGGGAGGAAGAGGAGAAGCUGAGAAAGGAAGAAGAGAUGCGUUUAGCGGAGGAGGCUCGACUGAAACGCCUAGAGGAGGAAAAGAAACUUGCCGAGGAGAGGAAAAUUAAAGACGAGGAAGAUGCUCGCCUAGCAGAGGAGGAGCGGGUGAGAAUGGCAGAAGAGGAGGCAGUGAGACAGGCCGAGCUCCAGAAGGAACGGGAGGAGGCUGAGGCCAAGGCCCUGGAGGAGGCAGAGAGAGUCCGUCUGGAGAGAGAGCGCAUCAUGCAGCAGAACCAGCAAGAACGAAUGGAGAGGAAGAAGAGAAUUGAAGAGAUAAUGAAGAGAACAAGAAAAGGGGAGCAAAAUGACUUGAAGGUGAAUGAUGGAGAUGAUGGAGACGAUGGAGACGAUGGAGACGAUGGAGACGAGGGAGAGGACUAUGAAACCCAGAGUAAGUGUUCUCAUCCCAGAGCUAUCACACUGAUGGCAGGUUCAGGAUAUCAGAUCCCUAAGGGCCGCCUCGUCGAGGGCUCGGAGUUCCUGAAUGAGCAGGACUCCGCCAAGGUGGGGUUGGUCUCAGGUCUAAAUGGUAAAUCCAACCAGUGGAGCUUUGAGGAACUCAUUGACCUCAACGUCCACUCCAAGACUCGGCCCCUCAUCGAGGCAGAGGACUAUGGGACCAGGGUAGCCUUCGAGGACAAGGGAACCCCUGUCAACACCCUGCAUUCCCCUAAUCAGCCCUUAGAAGCUCUGUCAGGUGAGGAAUCAUUUACACUUAUUCGUCUAUUAGACAUUUUUGACUGUCUUCUUAAAGAUAGACCAUAA
Long non-coding RNA from Sander lucioperca (pikeperch), 2416 nucleotides. Lineage: Eukaryota; Metazoa; Chordata; Actinopteri; Perciformes; Percidae. The record is from Ensembl.